Non-coding RNA from Myxocyprinus asiaticus (Chinese sucker), 633 nucleotides. NCBI's taxonomy places the organism in Eukaryota, Metazoa, Chordata, Actinopteri, Cypriniformes, Catostomidae. The record is from the annotation of a RefSeq genome assembly.
GCUCUAGCUUAAGUAGUACAGAGUACAGAAAUGGAUUAUAUUUUAACUAUAACUUUGUUGCUCUAUGGGGCGGGUUUUCUCCCAGUUACGUGUUCAACAAUCAAACAGGCACAGCCAGGACAUACUGUAACUAUAUGGUGUCAACACACAUUAAGAGUUUCUGGAUACCUGUACUGGUUUAAACAAAAUGAUGGUGCUGUACCUAUGGCUAUUGUGUCCAUGUUGUACACUGAAAGUCUUCAUAGCGCAGAGCCACGUUAUUUCAACAAUUUCACAAAAGACCACCUGGUCAUGAAUCAGUUCAGCAAAAGUACCACUCUAACAAUAAUGCAUGUGAGUAUUUCUGAUUCUGGCUUCUACUUUUGUGGAGCUACAGAUUACCAAGUACAUUUUGGCAGUGGAACACAGCUUGAAGUUAAAGAAAAGAAAGUCAUAUUAGUGAAUAAUGACACAGGAAUCUCAAAAAAAGGCAACACAAAAGACAGAAGCAGAAAAAAGUCACUGAAUGUCAAGAACAACAAAUUGAUGGCAAGGAGCCUGAUUCAGUUGAAUAUGCUGCAGUACAUUUCUCAAAAAUGAAACCCAAGACAACAGGAAGACAUACUGAGGAUACAAUAGUUGUGUACACGGACA